RNAcentral lists this ribosomal RNA (440 nucleotides) under uncultured bacterium. RNAcentral describes it as "partial 16S ribosomal RNA". It matches the Rfam family "Bacterial small subunit ribosomal RNA", at positions 338 to 795 of the family's 1533-position model. The record is from RNAcentral.
CCUACGGGAGGCAGCAGUGGGGGAUAUUGCACAAUGGGGGAAACCCUGAUGCAGCAACGCCGCGUGUGGGAAGAAGGUUCUCGGAUUGUAAACCACUGUUCUUGGUGAAGAAAAUGACGGUAACCAAGGAGAAAGCCCCGGCUAACUACGUGCCAGCAGCCGCGGUAAUACGUAGGGAGCAAGCGUUGUCCGGAUUUACUGGGUGUAAAGGGUGUGUAGGCGGUCUUGCAAGUCAGACGUGAAAACCACGGGCUCAACCUGGGGACUGCGUUUGAAACUGUGGGGCUUGAGGGAAGUAGAGGUAGGCGGAAUUCCCGGUGUAGCGGUGAAAUGCGUAGAGAUCGGGAGGAACACCAGUGGCGAAGGCGGCCUACUGGGCUUUAACUGACGCUGAGGCACGAAAGCGUGGGGAGCAAACAGGAUUAGAUACCCUAGUAGUC